RNAcentral lists this ribosomal RNA (433 nucleotides) under uncultured bacterium. Its description in RNAcentral is "partial 16S ribosomal RNA". It matches the Rfam family "Bacterial small subunit ribosomal RNA", at positions 29 to 507 of the family's 1533-position model. The record is from RNAcentral.
AACGAACGCUGGCGGCAUGCCUAACACAUGCAAGUCGAACGAGACCUUCGGGUCUAGUGGCGCACGGGUGCGUAACACGUGGGAAUCUGCCCUUUGCUUCGGAAUAACAGUUAGAAAUGACUGCUAAUACCGGAUGAUGUCGAAAGACCAAAGAUUUAUCGGCAAAGGAUGAGCCCGCGUAGGAUUAGGCAGUUGGUGGGGUAAAGGCCUACCAAGCCGACGAUCCUUAGCUGGUCUGAGAGGAUGAUCAGCCACACUGGGACUGAGACACGGCCCAGACUCCUACGGGAGGCAGCAGUGGGGAAUAUUGGACAAUGGGCGAAAGCCUGAUCCAGCAAUGCCGCGUGAGUGAUGAAGGCCUUAGGGUUGUAAAGCUCUUUUACCAGGGAUGAUAAUGACAGUACCUGGAGAAUAAGCUCCGGCUAACUCCUUG